UGGAUCCAGACUUUCCUCAUGGCUCAGGAUGAACGCUAGCUACAGGCUUAACACAUGCAAGUCGAGGGGAAACGAUAGAGAAAGCCUGCUUUUUCUAGGCGUCGACCGGCGCACGGGUGAGUAACGCGUAUCCUACCUGCCCAUCACUUGGGGAUAACCUUGCGAAAGUAAGACUAAUACCCAAUGACGUCCAUAGAAGACAUCUGAAGUGGAUUAAAGAUUUAUCGGUGAUGGAUGGGGAUGCGUCUGAUUAGCUUGUUGGCGGGGUAACGGCCCACCAAGGCGACGAUCAGUAGGGGUUCUGAGAGGAAGGUCCCCCACAUUGGAACUGAGACACGGUCCAAACUCCUACGGGAGGCAGCAGUGAGGAAUAUUGGUCAAUGGGCGAGAGCCUGAACCAGCCAAGUAGCGUGCAGGAUGACGGCCCUAUGGGUUGUAAACUGCUUUUAUAAGGGAAUAAAGUGAGUCUCGUGAGACUUUUUGCAUGUACCUUAUGAAUAAGGACCGGCUAAUUCCGUGCCAGCAGCCGCGGUAAUACGGAAGGUCCGGGCGUUAUCCGGAUUUAUUGGGUUUAAAGGGAGCGUAGGCCGGAGAUUAAGCGUGUUGCGAAAUGUAGACGCUCAACGUCUGCACUGCAGCGCGAACUGGUUUCCUUGAGUACGCACAAAGUGGGCGGAAUUCGUGGUGUAGCGGUGAAAUGCUUAGAUAUCACGAAGAACUCCGAUUGCGAAGGCAGCUCACUGGAGCGCAACUGACGCUGAAGCUCGAAAGUGCGGGUAUCGAACAGGAUUAGAUACCCUGGUAGUCCGCACGGUAAACGAUGGAUGCCCGCUGUUGGUCUGAAUAGGUCAGCGGCCAAGCGAAAGCAUUAAGCAUCCCACCUGGGGAGUACGCCGGCAACGGUGCAACUCAAAGGAAUUGACGGA
This 926-nucleotide ribosomal RNA is filed under the name uncultured Bacteroidota bacterium. RNAcentral's name for it is "bacterial SSU rRNA". It matches the Rfam family "Bacterial small subunit ribosomal RNA", at positions 1 to 917 of the family's 1533-position model. Lineage: Bacteria; Pseudomonadati; Bacteroidota. The record is from RNAcentral.